This 253-nucleotide ribosomal RNA is filed under the name uncultured bacterium. Its description in RNAcentral is "partial 16S ribosomal RNA". It matches the Rfam family "Bacterial small subunit ribosomal RNA", at positions 524 to 776 of the family's 1533-position model. The record is from RNAcentral.
UGAGAAGGGGGCUAGCGGUGUUCGGAAUUACUGGGCGUAAAGCGCACGUAGGCGGACUCUUAAGUCCGGGGUGAAAUCCCGGGGCUAAACCUCGGAACUGCCUUUGAUACUGUGAGUCUCGAGACCGGAAGAGGUGAGUGGAAUUCCUAGUGUAGAGGUGAAAUUCGUAGAUAUUAGGAAGAACACCAGUGGCGAAGGCGGCUCACUGGUCCGGUUCUGACGCUGAGGUGCGAAAGCGUGGGGAGCAAACAGG